UACGGGAGGCAGCAGUGGGGAAUAUUGGACAAUGGGCGCAAGCCUGAUCCAGCCAUGCCGCGUGUGUGAAGAAGGCCUUCGGGUUGUAAAGCACUUUUGUCCGGAAAGAAAAGCUUAGGGUUAAUAACCUUGAGUCAUGACGGUACCGGAAGAAUAAGCACCGGCUAACUUCGUGCCAGCAGCCGCGGUAAUACGAAGGGUGCAAGCGUUACUCGGAAUUACUGGGCGUAAAGCGUGCGUAGGUGGUUUGUUAAGUCUGAUGUGAAAGCCCUGGGCUCAACCUGGGAAUGGCAUUGGAAACUGGCUUACUAGAGUGCGGUAGAGGGGUGUGGAAUUCCCGGUGUAGCAGUGAAAUGCGUAGAUAUCGGGAGGAACAUCUGUGGCGAAGGCGACACCCUGGACCAGCACUGACACUGAGGCACGAAAGCGUGGGGAGCAAAC
RNAcentral lists this ribosomal RNA (441 nucleotides) under uncultured bacterium. RNAcentral's name for it is "bacterial SSU rRNA". It matches the Rfam family "Bacterial small subunit ribosomal RNA", at positions 340 to 773 of the family's 1533-position model. The record is from RNAcentral.